CCCGCACAAGCGGUGGAGCAUGUGGUUUAAUUCGAUGCAACGCGAAGAACCUUACCUGGAUUUGACAUGCACGUAGUAGUGAACCGAAAGGGAACGAGCCUUCGGGCAGCGUGCACAGGUGCUGCAUGGCUGUCGUCAGCUCGUGCCGUGAGGUGUUGGGUUAAGUCCCGCAACGAGCGCAACCCUCGUCGCUAGUUACAUGUGUCUAGCGAGACUGCCAGGUUAACCCUGGAGGAAGUGGGGAUGACGUCAAGUCAGCAUGGCCUUUAUGUCCAGGGCUACACACACGCUACAAUGGUCGGUACAAUGGGAUGCCAAGCCGCGAGGCGGAGCAAAUCCUCAAAGCCGGCCUCAGUUCGGAUUGGAGGCUGCAACUCGCCUCCAUGAAGUCGGAGUUGCUAGUAACCGCAGGUCAGCUAUACUGCGGUGAAUACGUUCCCGGGCCUU
RNAcentral lists this ribosomal RNA (447 nucleotides) under uncultured Caldilineaceae bacterium. Its description in RNAcentral is "bacterial SSU rRNA". It matches the Rfam family "Bacterial small subunit ribosomal RNA", at positions 920 to 1382 of the family's 1533-position model. Lineage: Bacteria; Bacillati; Chloroflexota; Caldilineae; Caldilineales; Caldilineaceae. The record is from RNAcentral.